UACGUAGGGUGCGAGCGUUGUCCGGAAUUAUUGGGCGUAAAGAGCUCGUAGGCGGCUUGUCGCGUCGGAUGUGAAAGCCUGGGGCUUAACUCCGGGUCUGCAUUCGAUACGGGCAGGCUAGAGUUCGGUAGGGGAGAUCGGAAUUCCUGGUGUAGCGGUGAAAUGCGCAGAUAUCAGGAGGAACACCGGUGGCGAAGGCGGAUCUCUGGGCCGAUACUGACGCUGAGGAGCGAAAGCGUGGGGAGCGAACAGG
RNAcentral lists this ribosomal RNA (253 nucleotides) under uncultured bacterium. Its description in RNAcentral is "partial 16S ribosomal RNA". It matches the Rfam family "Bacterial small subunit ribosomal RNA", at positions 524 to 776 of the family's 1533-position model. The record is from RNAcentral.